CCAGCCGCUAUAUUAUUCUAAACUUUUUGAUUUAUAAAAUAGUAUAUCUAAACUGAUUAUCAUAACAUCAAAUCCUGAUUCCUGCAUCAUCCUUCUCUUUGAAUCUAAAUUGAUGACCAAGAGUACGUGCUUUGCAAUGGGUGAUAGUGACAAUCUGUCAUCAUCGUUUUCAGUGCAGCUUGGUGGUACUUGUUGUCCCGAGUCGGUAACAAUAUCAUCAUAUGGCAGACCAACAUCUAGAAUGGUCUUUGACGGUGGUACUAUCUUAAAUUGUGGUGUGGUGUUAUAUCGAAGAUACACAUAUGUGUUUCAUGUGGUUUAUACUACUUUCAUAAUAACUUAAAUAAUCUUUAAGCAAGGUUUGGUCGGUCAAACAUGUUGGAUGGUGGUUUUGGGAAGAUGUAUAAUAGAUUUGGGAAGGUGUACAAAUGUAAAACCUAACCAAUAUUACAAACCAAAACCUUUGAACCGUUAGACUUCUUUAGCUAGCAAGGAGCCUACUUAUUUUCAAACAUUUAAAGAUGAAAUAUCUCUUUAAUAUAUGCCCCAUUGUUGUUUGACCUAGAAAACCUUACAAACCAAUUAAUUUCAAAAAACCGGGUAGUUAAGAUUGGAAAAAGAGGAUUUGGAAAAGUUUAUAAGGAUAUUUGAUCGAGUAGAUUAUAGAUUUGAAAAUGUAUUACAACAAUGAUAUUUGCGUUAAACGGAUAUUUUAGGGUGAUGCAACGAUUAUUUUAUGGUUUAGACUACCUUCAUACUAUGUCAAUGCUCUAUGAAAAAUCUGAUGUGAAGAGCUCGAGUUUUGGAUAAGAGUCGAGCAGUUAAGAUUUUGCAUUUUGGGUUGUCCGAAAUAAGCUUUAAAUCAUUGAAAUGGUAUUGUACUAUUGUUCAUCUCUUUUUAUAUACACAUUGUACUUGCUAAAAGGAAGAUUCACAAGUAUUGCAGAUUUGUAUGUGUGUUUAGAUCUCAUUUUGUUGUUUAGGUUUUUGUUUGUACCUAAUGGAUCUCUUUUGUUUGACACUUCUUUAAAAAGAUAAUUGUAGUUUGUUUGGUUGAUUCAA
Molecule: long non-coding RNA, 1062 nt
Organism: Erigeron canadensis
Lineage: Eukaryota; Viridiplantae; Streptophyta; Magnoliopsida; Asterales; Asteraceae
Exons: 2
Source: RefSeq, a predicted model, not a curated record